This 253-nucleotide ribosomal RNA is filed under the name uncultured bacterium. Its description in RNAcentral is "partial 16S ribosomal RNA". It matches the Rfam family "Bacterial small subunit ribosomal RNA", at positions 524 to 776 of the family's 1533-position model. The record is from RNAcentral.
UACAUGGGGUGCAAACGUUGCUCGGAAUUAUUGGGCGUAAAGCGCGCGUAGGCGGUUACUCAAGUCGGAUGUGAAAGCCCUCGGCUUAACUGAGGAAGUGCACCCGAAACUGAGUAGCUAGAGUACUAAAGAGGGUCGCGGAAUUCCCGGUGUAGAGGUGAAAUGCGUAGAUAUCUGCAGGAACACCCGUGGCGAAAGCGGCGCGCUGGACCACUACUGACGCUGAGGAACGAAAGCUAGGGGAGCAAACAGG